UACGGAGGGGGCGAGCGUUAUUCGGAAUUAUUGGGCGUAAAGGGCGCGUAGGCGGCUUGAUAAGUCAAAGGUGAAAUCCCUCGGCUCAACUGAGGAACUGCCUUUGAAACUGUCAGACUUGAGGCCGGGAGGGGGUAGCGGAAUUCCCAGUGUGGCGGUGAAAUGCGUAGAUACUGGGAGGAACACCGGUGGCGAAGGCGGCUACCUGGACCGGUUCUGACGCUGAUGCGCGAAAGCGUGGGUAGCAAACAGG
RNAcentral lists this ribosomal RNA (253 nucleotides) under uncultured bacterium. Its description in RNAcentral is "partial 16S ribosomal RNA". It matches the Rfam family "Bacterial small subunit ribosomal RNA", at positions 524 to 776 of the family's 1533-position model. The record is from RNAcentral.